UACUGUUCACUGACUGCUUCAGGCUCAGUCAUUUAUUGUCCUUUAGGGGGAGUGAGAAGAGGGUGAUUAUUUUAUCAUUUCAGAAAGGGGUGCGGAUAAAGAGUGGGAUUAGGGAGAGAGAGUGGGAGGAGCUUGGAUUUCGUCCAGAUAUCUUUCUGAUCUCUCUGUGGAUAAGUAUCAGAACCAGCCACGCAUCAGCUAACAGUCUACUGCAGCAUCCGAGGAGCAGGGCUUGGCGUGUCGACCAUCCACAUGGCCACAGCAAUGGGAUACAGGAAAUCCCACCCAAACGGUAUGAUCCAUAUCUGAAUCACAUUGUUUUCUUUGGUAAGGUAAGCAUUCAUUGAAAGCUCAAAAUAUCCUGAUUGGGGAGCAUUUACUGUUUACUGGAUAGAGUUGUCUGCUGUAAAAUGUAGUAAAGAGCCUUGCUUAUUAUUUUCUGUACUGUGCUAUGCCUUUAAAAUAUCUCCAGUACAAGAAACCCACACCGUGUAACACUUUGCCACAGAAACUAGCUGUUAAAACAACCAUUUUGUAUAUCUCUCUUUUCUAUUUUUUAAAUUGUUAUAUACAAUGAGCUCAUAAUUGGACAUUCUAAAUUGGUAGAAACAAAAGGGAGUAAAAUAAAAUAUGCAAAUAAAACAAAAUCGGAAUACUUGACCCCUAACUGUAUCUAUUACUGUGCAAUGAGCAAGCCCAUAUCUAUCAAUGACUCAUACUAACGUUACUGCCCUUGAGUCCAGCCCUGCUGUGUAUUGUCAUACUGUGCUACCUGGAAAUAGGGUUACUAGAUUUUCAGAGGGAAAAACUGGGAUGUUUUUAUUUUCUUCAAUUGACUGAUGCCAUAGCAACUCUGAAGCCAUUAAAAUAACUAUACAAUAACACAAUUUAUUAAUUGUAUGUUUCGAAGUAUUCGGUGGCUACCUCUAAUCAAGUUGAGAGUGCAUUUCCCGCGCAGUAGCAACGUGAUUAGAGGGAGCCACCGAACACUUAUUACAAACAUACAAUAAACAAUUCAUUGUUUACUUUCUAUUGUCAUCUGACCAAAAUAAAUACAAUAGCAGAACCGGGACAAUUUAACAAUUUUACUGUUUCUAAUCAGGGCACAAAAAUUUACUUCUGGUAACCCUACCUGUAUAGGAUACCAGUAGAUUAAUAACAAUCUCCCCCAGUACAAAGAAAAAAAAAACACUGCUUUAUUUACUAAUAAUUCAUUUCUAUUACGUAGGUAUUAUGUUUACAAUGGCAACUAGAUUUUAAAAAUUGACUUUUGAAGAUCUUAACAUUUUCUAGUUUUGAAACAAAAAAAAUAAUGAAAACGAAUGUCAUCGUCAUUUAAAGAAUCCAAAAAUAGUGUUUGACAAUUUCAUGAAUAUCACUUAAUAUCAUAAAAACUGAAAAAGGAGUAUUUUUUUACAUUUCUUAACAACAGCAUAGAAAGGUUUAAGGAGCUCUGUUUAGUUUAUCAAAAACAGUAUUCAAAUAUCUCAUGAGUUUUAGGCCUCAACCUUUUUAAGACCACAUAGGUCUCGUCCUCAGAUUAAAGUUGGUUUGAGACCCAGUAAUUUGACCCUGGAUAAAUACAGGCUUUUGUCCUUUAACUCCUGAAGGUAGUGCACCAUUGAAAUGUGUCCCGGCACUCAUUAGAUAAAUAAAUCAGGUGAGAUUUUGUUCCACUUUCUGCUGCUCUGUUUUACUUUGUGCCUCUCCAGCUUUGUAAUGGAUCACCCAGUGCAGGAACACACCAAGGCUAUUCUUCUUCCUGGACUCUUUACUGAAUCUGUCACUGUCGAGCUGCACUGAGGAGUGAGAGACGCCUAGCGGAAGUGAAAAGCCACAGUGUCCAGUUACACACCAAUGGAGGGAGCUGUCAUUCCCCUGUGGCCUAAAGAAGGAGCUUUCCGUGGUGCGCACUGGCUCUGGGUCGACACUGGUUGGCGGGGAGAAGGACCAGCAAGGAUUUUGGUCUCAUAAACCACUAACCAAAUUCAAAUGAUAAGUUAAAAUUCAUUAUAUGAACACAAAAAACUUCACAUGACAAAUGGACCUUGACGGAUAUAGUUGUCAGACAUGCUGGAUCAUUGUGCGUUAUGAAGUUGAUUAAAAAGCACGCUGACAAGCAGAUGAAAGAUGUCUGCCCUUUAUCACUUUACCAUCAUCCUGCUGCUACUGUUUAAUAGCUGUGGAAAAUAUGAAUGAUAGCCUGAAUCCUGUAAUGAUGUUUUCCCAAAUACUAACGAUGUGCGCUGAAAGUCUGCGUCAGCUAAAGCAACAGUAUUAUCACCCUUGGUUCUUUAAACUACUGAAUCAUAUAGCAGCUUUUGUUUUCCAUGUCUUGACUAUGAGGACAGCCAUAUUAUAUCAAGACAAAAUCAAUAAAAUUAUGUUUCACUGGAGAACCAAAUAGGCAGUCUGUGAAAGUGCCAGCGCUGUAAGGCUUUCUUGUUCUGGUAAUGAUCAUAGUAAAUCUGUUUUUAAAUGUACUGUAGAUUCAAGAAACUCAAUAAGAAAAUGAUUUUUUUUUUUGUGUGAAAGAAACAGGCUUACAAAAAAUGUAUGUAUUAUCCAUGGAGGGCAUGCUUAAAUAGGAGAUGAAAUGCAGGUUCUUUGCCCCACAAAACCAAUAUUAAAUUUACAUUUCAAAGCACAAUGAAACAAGCAGAGGAUCAACGCAAUAUUUUCUAUAAUGGGUACAUUGGCAACCAUCAAACGUCUUAAAUAUUUAAAAAGGCCUUACAUUUUAUACAUUAGGGACUCAACAGGGUGCUCUAUGUUAGCAUGCCAUUUGCUAUGGAAACAGUUGAACAGGACUUUGAAAGGAGGUAUUGGGAAACCUUAUUAUUUUAUUUAAACAGGAAUUUGUUUGUUGCUUGCACUUUUAUUUAAAUUCACUGCACAGUUUUUUUAAACUUAUUUUUACAAUCUUUGCAUGUUUCAUAUUAAAUGCUACACGGUAAUUGAAAUUAAUUAAGUAAGACUAACUACUAACUGCUGCUACUAAUGCUAAUACUAACAAUGCAAACUAACAAAUCUAACCUUUUUGUGUGUCUUCUUGGUAUCUUAACUGUACUAACUUUCAGCCUCAAAUAAGGGUAUUUGACUUAUAACUGUGUUAAGAUUCUGAUGGAUAUCCGAAUAUUCUUUAAUUAAUUGUACAAUGCAACAUAUUGAAAUAUUAAAACAUGGUAGCCUAUCGAAUGAUCUAACUCCGCUCAGUAGAAUGUCUUUUGGAGAUUUCGGACAUCAUGGUAUACAGAUUAAAACCCAAUUUUUGCCAAUAUUUUCACCAAAGGCAACAGGAAUAUUCGAAUAUUUAUCCCAGCACGUACAAUGCACCCGUUCCUACUAAUAAAAUGGUCACUUCUUUCCUGUCCUUCUCUUUUCAAUUUUAACCCAGUUCUGCUUUUUCUUUUAAGCCUUGGUCUUGAUCAUGCAUGAAGAGCUCCACUCCUCCGACAGGAUGGGGUGCAAUAACUAACAUUUGUGAAUAACCUGGUUACUAACAACUACUAACUGCAAUUAACAGAAAAUCUAUAAAGUAAGUACGUUUUUAUUUACCUGUACGAACUUUUAAAUCCAGCCUACUCAGUUAUUAUAACUAACCAUGUCUGUCUGUCUGUCUGUCUGUCCAUGUCUGUCGUACCGAUUUACUGUAUCUGUUUGUCCGUGUAGCUAUAUAUGUAGUCAUAUACAUAUUUAUAGUUUACUACUGUACAGAAUGUGUGUGUUGGGUAUAGUGUCUGUUCCCAACCUAAUAAACUAACAAAACCUAACAUUGUACUAACCUUUUUAUACAGUAUUACUACUAACAUAAAAUGAUUGAUUUGUAACAUAAUGGAUUUUAUAUGACUCACAGUAAUUAUUACUGUGAGCUUUUUUUCUCCUUUUAUGGGAGUGUAAUCACUUCUCAAACCUGCUGAAGAAAUUAAUAUAUAUAUAUACACACAUGCUAGCUAAUAUCAAUAAACAUAUAAUAAUAUUCAAGUGCUGUAUAAAAUAUAUUUCUUCAAAAUGUUAUUUUGGAAAUACGUCAUACAAACUUGAUUGAAAUUAUAUAAAAACACACCAGGAUAGUUCCAAAUAAAUAAUGACAAAAAAUUACUUUUUUUUCCCGAGCUUAUUAUUCUUAUUAGAAAACUGAAUACAAUGUAUCAGUCAGAAAGUGACAAAAGCAAUUUCAAAUAUCUAUUAAAAACUUGCCAGCUGACACUAAACACACCAUUGCUGUAACAGCCUCUGAACUUGGACCUAUAAUAAAAACACAGCUGUCUUAGUCUUCAAAUAAAAACACACAUUAUACCAUUAUAAUACUGUGAAAAAAAAAAUCAAAACAGAUGUUGUGAUACCAUUCUACUAAUGGAAUCCAAUAGUUCAUAUACUAUAUAACGGGACAUGUUUGACUCCCCAGUUAACAGUGUCACUUUCUGACAGCAUUACUUGUAUCAAUACCACUCAAUUCAGGAUCAAAUUGAUCAUGAAGCAAUGCAGGAUUUGGGAAAGUGGUCACAAGACUAAUGGAAAGAUCCCCUGUCCUGCUGAACCCAGCUGUUAGUUCUGAAUGAUAGUGCUUGGUCUGCUGCUUGUAUUUGUAUCCCACUUUGAGGACAGUGUGCAUUUGGUGAUUUCAAACUAACAUAGAAAACUAAUGCUGGUACUAACAGAUGCUGUUACAAAUACUAACUUCGCUGGGAGAAUCAACUGCUAAUGUUACUGCUGCUAAAUGGUUUGAUGCUUUUACUAACCGCUGUAUGCAUUAGUAACUAACAUUAGAGCUCUAUUCCUUGUCUUACAAUAAUAGUGUAUGCUUCUGAUGUAUAUUGUACUAACACUGUUACUAAAUGUUGCAAAUAUACUAACCACUCUUACUAACAAAAUAAUAAAACAGUACUAACGCAUUACAGUAGAAACUUAUACUAACUGUACUAACUGCAAAAUUACUAACGUUUCCAAUUACUAUCAAUUAAAUUAUUUUCUGUGAACUUUUAAAAAUAUGCUACGAGUGUUUUUUCUUGCUAACACUUCUGCUUCAGAAACACUGACUAGCAUGAAUGUGUGGUGGUGGUGCUGGUACUAACCAAGGGAAUUGAAGCAUGUUUUUGUAUGACUGACGUGUGACUAACACUGUGCAUCUGUUUCUAUCUGGAUGGUACGGGUGGGCUAGCUUUUGAAAGUUCAGAUGUAGGAAGAUGUUAAAAACUAGGAACAGCUCAAAACAGAGGAGGAUAUUGACUCUGAGAAGGGUGACUACAUUGUUGCAUGUCUUUAAAAUAGCAAUCUUUAAUGUACAUUAUAUAUAACCCAAUGGAAUUACAGCCUUUAUUAACAAAGUCAUGCAGUACAUACACACACUUGACAAUUGUUCCCUUAUACCUAACUGUCUUAAACCUUUUAUAAGAUCAUAGAUCUGUGGGAGGUUAUUUAUAUAUUUAUAUAUGUAAGGAAAUAAUACCUGGUACUAUUCUUCAGAAAUGUAUUAUAGUAUACUGAUAUUUUUCAUUGCGUACAAUUUUAUUUAAACAAAUACUGUAUGGAACUAGGGCUGGAUAUGACGUCUCUGACAUUUUAUAUAUAAAGUAAAACCUGGAGUCACCUUCAAUAUGAAGGUCCCCUGUAUUCAGUAUUAAGGCUACCAUCUGCAGUCCCAAAUCUAUCAACCCUUUGGGAAAUGAGCUGUCUAAUUAGACCAAUCAUUCUGCAAACUACCAAGCUAAAAAAAAAAGCUGUUUGAAAAUUUGCAUUAAAUUAAAUUAAAUUAAAUUAAAAUAAAAUAAAUAAGCUCAAGAUAGUUCAACUAUUAAAUAAAGUGCUAACCAGUUCAAUAUAUUGUCUAUUCAAACAAAUGGGAUUUGAAUUUCUGGCAAUACAUUCUAUGUACCUGCAGUAGUAAGUCCACAUUUUGUUGGCCCCUUGACUGGCCUUAUAUGAAAAGGCAUUUACUACAGUUAGGAAAUUUGACCUCAAACUGGAAAUAUAAUGUCCCUACUGCCAUCGCGUAGUGUUCUAAUGCAGUCGGCUGCAGCUGAUGAAUUCCCAAAAGAGAGAAAAAAAAAAUCCAGUAUUUCUGAGUUGAAAAGCUAGCUGUUAGAAAACAGACAGCUUAAAGACUGAGCGACUGGAACCCCCAUUGUGCAGAGGCACAUUUAAAAUGGCCUGUGAGUGCUCCUCAAUCUAUAAAGAUGAAAAGCUAAAUGCAUGCUGUCAACUUUAGUUCUAGGAGAAUGCAGCCGUUUCAGAGGACCCUAUCUGUGUGCUUUUCAUCUUACAUUUCCUAAUAGUUAACGUCUUACAUGUUUAAAAUCCUAUUACAGCAGUUCUGUUUGAUUCUACAUUGUUGUUUCAGCUUAGAUCGUUAUUUUCCAUGCUUACUAACUAACAGCAAAAACUGCUUCUGAAAAGACUCCUGUAGGCUUUUUGUGGGGAAGCACUUAAGUCCUGCACAGGCAGUGCACAACGCUUCACCUGUGAAAUGGAUCGCCACCUUUAGUCUUGGAGUCUUUGUCAAGCAUUGUCAAUAAUGAUCUAAGAAAAAACCAAAGAGAAUCACACAGAACACUUAGGGAAUACAGAGAUAAGAAAAUAUAUCAGGAAUGUGUAGGUCUAACAAGCAUUCGUUUUAGUUUUCUAACAUGUCUGUUUCUGUUCUAACUAUGAACUCCAGACUCUAAAACAAUUAUAUUACUAAACCAGAAAAAUAUAACUUUAGCAAAGAGGGCUUUCAGUUUAUGUUAUUAAAACCUUGUUAAAUGUACCAGAAAUAGACAUUCAAAAAUGAUAUUUAAUAUGAACAAAUGUAUGCUUGAGAAUAGUUUUCUCUAGAUCUCUUAAUAGCUUUUGGGGGAUGCUUUUAUAAACACUCCCCCUUCUUAAUGUGUGUAUUAACACUAUCCAUGUAUUAAAAUAACAGUGCUUUGUUUAAUGAAAAUGAUACAAUACGAAUACUGAAGCUGUUACUGGAGGGUCGUGGGUUCAAUCCCAGUUAGGGGACACUGCUGUUGUACCCUUGAGCAAGGUACUUUACCUAGAUUGCUCCAGUAAAAACCCAACUGUAUAAAUGGGUAAUUGUAUAUAAAAAUAAUGUGUAAAAAAUUCUGUAAUUGUAUGUAAAAAUAAUGUGAUAUCUUGUAACAAUUGUAAGUCGCCCUCGAUAAGGGUGUUCACCCCAAUGGGCAUUGAUUUUCCAGGGAAUUCUGGUACUAAUAGACUAACUUGACUACUAAUCAAUUAAUAUAUAUGUCUGGUUGUAAUGCAUAUUGAAUAUUACUAACAUAACAAGCUGCUUUGAACCUGCCUGAUAUGAAAUUUCACACGCUUACAGUAUGUGCUGUUAUAACACAUACCUGCUUUGAUCUAACCUGCAGUAGUUAAAGUAAAUAAGGGGACACUGGACUGACAGAAUAAAAAUGCAUCUUCACUGCAAUAUUAAUCCAACUAAUACAUAAGGAUUUUUUACUAACUUAAUGCUGUCUUUAUGGGUAUGAAUACGGCUAAUCAUUUGGUCAGCAAAAGCAAUGCUUUGCCCAGUUGUUCAUUUCAAGACGCUCCCAGUUUCCUCAUGUGCUCCCAGUUUCCUCACUGAACAACAGUUCAAUGUCUUACCAUAUGCCAGGCUGAAUAGAUACGACUGCACUCACUGGGUGAUAAGGGGCAACUCUUUUCUUUAUACUUUAUGUUUAUAACUGGUUUCAGUCCAAGCUGCUCCAGUCUGUAAUGUGAAAGACCUAUCCAUACACCUCCAAAUUAAAAGGACGGCAACAAACCAUUCUCCAUCUUCCCAAAGGCUAGUCCAUGGGACACUGUAUUUCUUUGUUAGUAAAGGCAAUAGUUAUUAUCAGCAUGUAGUAAACAGGAAAGAAGCAGACGAAGGCAUCAGCCGCAAUGGUUGCAUAUCUGACUUCAAUCAAAUAAUACACGCUGCUUUAUCGCGCUAUUCAAUCAAAAUCUUCCACAUAAAAAAUGUGGUCAAAUUCAAUUAACUUUUAAUAAGAAAUGCAUUUUACAAAGUAUAAUUUUUUUUUAAAUAGGAAACUAUGUAGCAAUAAUAUGACCUUCAUAAAGGUGACAUCGUAUAACUAUGUGCGUAACCCUUUGGGAUCACUUUGAAAACCCACAUAACAUGCAUAUGAAUAUUUAUAACAUGUCUUAAUAUUUAUUACAAACUAAAAUGUACUGUAAUUGAGAAUUCAGCAUUUCCAGUCUGUGUAUGAGACCUGUCACCAUUAACACCUUUACUGUUAUUAUUGAGGUCUCUUAAAUAGAAUGGUGUAGCACUGUAGUUGGCAAAAACGUUAUGAUUACUGUAAUGUCAUUUUGGCCUUUGUUAUGAAUGCUGCAUAAUGUCCUAUUCAAUUUAAGCAAGUAUUUCACAUGUAUUGGUGUUACAACUGGUUUUAAUCCUGUACUGAAAUGUUGUGACAUAAAAAUAUGUCAGGAAAAUAUAACCUACAGAACAAUGCAAUGUGUAUGUUUAUAGUUUCUGUUUUUAAUUGUAAUGUGCAGUUCAUGUACAUAUUAAACAGGUUGGAAUGAGUGUUUUAUAUAAUUCUUUAUUGCUGUUUCUGCUUGUUUACUAACUAAUUCCCCCUUUUAACCACAAGUACUGCUUCUGAAAAGGCUCCUAAAUGCUGGAUUUUCCCAAAUGUUGUUAUUAUCAGACAAUCCGUCUGCUACCUACUGUUUGGUUGCAGGGAAUAGCAGCUAGUGAUUGGCUAGCUGCGGAUUCCUAACCAGCAUGUGGGCGUGUCCCGGCGGAGCGUCUUAGUGUCCAGCUAACACACCUCAUGGCUACUGAAAAGCCACAGGACACAGACUGUCCACGUUACCUGAACAACAAAUCUUAAAAGCCCAAAUCCUCCGAUCACCAUGAGCUUUGUGAAGAGGAAGCCAAAACCUCCGAUCACCGGGGUCAGAGUUUUAAUUAUUCAAAGAAAACGGAAUUAGUUAAGGGAUUUUAGGUCCCACAAGUGUAGUUUUGUUUUGCUCUGUGUUUUCUUUUGCCUUUUUGUUUUCUAUGUCCUCCAUGCGCUACGAUUGCUGGUAGCGUCACAUGUGUUUUUUUAUUUUUCUUGUGUUUACUUGAAAUAAAUCCUGUGUGCCCUAGUGGAGUUGUCAAUA
Molecule: long non-coding RNA, 9111 nt
Organism: Acipenser ruthenus (sterlet)
Lineage: Eukaryota; Metazoa; Chordata; Actinopteri; Acipenseriformes; Acipenseridae
Exons: 3
Source: RefSeq, a predicted model, not a curated record